RNAcentral lists this ribosomal RNA (459 nucleotides) under uncultured bacterium. RNAcentral describes it as "partial 16S ribosomal RNA". It matches the Rfam family "Bacterial small subunit ribosomal RNA", at positions 338 to 795 of the family's 1533-position model. The record is from RNAcentral.
CCUACGGGAGGCUGCAGUUAUUAAUAUUUUUCCCUUUCCUUCAUUCUUAACCAGCCAAGCCGCGUGAAGGACGAAGGUGCCAAGCAUUGUAAACUUCUUUUGUCAAGGGACAAAAUCAGGCUCGAGAGCCUGACCGAGGGUACUUGAAGAAAAAGCAUCGGCUAACUCCGUGCCAGCAGCCGCGGUAAUACGGAGGAUGCGAGCGUUAUCCGGAUUUAUUGGGUUUAAAGGGUGCGUAGGCGGGCUGUUAAGUCAGCGGUAAAAGCCCGGGGCUCAACCCCGGCGAGCCGUUGAAACUGGCUGUCUUGAGAUGUCGAGAGGUAUGCGGAAUGCGCAGUGUAGCGGUGAAAUGCUUAGAUAUUGCGCAGAACUCCGAUUGCGAAGGCAGCAUACCGGCGGCGAUCUGACGCUGAGGCACGAAAGCGUGGGUAUCGAACAGGAUUAGAUACCCCAGUAGUC